UACAGAGGUCUCAACCGUUGUUCGGAUUCAUUGGGCGUAAAGGGUGCGUAGGCGGUCGUGCAAGUCGGAUGUGAAAUCUCAGGGCUCAACCCUGAAACUGCAUUCGAUACUGCCGUGCUUGAGGACUGGAGAGGAGACUGGAAUUUACGGUGUAGCGGUGAAAUGCGUAGAUAUCGUAAGGAAGACCAGUGGCGAAGGCGGGUCUCUGGACAGUUCCUGACGCUGAGGCACGAAGGCCAGGGGAGCAAACGGG
This 253-nucleotide ribosomal RNA is filed under the name uncultured bacterium. RNAcentral describes it as "partial 16S ribosomal RNA". It matches the Rfam family "Bacterial small subunit ribosomal RNA", at positions 524 to 776 of the family's 1533-position model. The record is from RNAcentral.